Daucus carota subsp. sativus is the source of this 1621-nucleotide RNA transcript. It is a transcript of the gene named protein VTE6, chloroplastic, with no coding region annotated. NCBI's taxonomy places the organism in Eukaryota, Viridiplantae, Streptophyta, Magnoliopsida, Apiales, Apiaceae. The transcript is spliced from 6 exons. The record is from RefSeq and is a predicted model, not a curated record.
UAAUACCAGCCCAUAUUCUAUCGCACAUGAUCUAAUUUUCUUCUUCUCCUUGCACGAAAAAAGAUUAGUAUUGAAUCUUGAAUUCUUGAUGCUUAUAUAAAUUAGACUACAAACCAACAACUUCUCCAAAGUUUGGGGAAAAUGUCAACCCAAAUGUCAUCUAUGAUGAGUCUCACAACAACCCCAUCUCUCAGAUUACCCCAUUUGCAACCCCAAUUUGCCAAUUUUCCCAAGAUUCAGUUUUUAUCUUUUGUCAACUCUAAUGUGAGGCCUAGGGUUUGUAAAAAAGGGAGUGCUUCAAUUAGAGCUGAAGCAAGUAGCAACAUUGAUAUGGGUUUUGUACAGCAAGCAAUAGGAUUAGUCCAAGCUUCACCGCCCACCUGGCAAUCUGCUAUCUUUAGUAAUACAGCUAUAUUUCUUGUGGGUUCUCCAGUUCUUGUUUCCGGCUUGUCUCUCUCGGGCAUUGCUGCUGCUUUCUUGCUUGGUUCGCUUACUUGGCGUGCUUUCGGUCCCUCUGGGUAUCUUCUUGUUGCUGCCUAUUUUGUUCUUGGAACGGCAGCAACAAAAGUGAAAAUGGCUGAAAAGGAAGCUCAAGGUGUUGCUGAGAAGAGAAAGGGAAGAAGGGGACCAGGAAGUGUGAUAGGUUCCAGUGCAGCUGGUUGUGUUUGUGCAUUGCUUUCCAUUUAUGGAGUUGGCGGGAGUGCAGUAUCUCGGCUCUGGGAACUCGGUUUUGUUGCCAGUUUCUGUACUAAGUUGAGUGAUACUGUCUCAAGUGAAAUAGGGAAGGCAUACGGGAGAACAACGUACCUAGUAACAACAUUUAAGGUAGUUCCAAGGGGAACGGAAGGAGCUGUUAGUCUUGAGGGAACCUUUGCUGGAGUUCUGGCUGCAAUUCUUCUUGCCUCCUCUGGUAUUUUAUUAGGCCAGAUUAGCACACUUGAAGCUGUCAUAUGCGUACUAGCUGCCCAGAUUGCUAAUGUUGGUGAAAGCCUGAUAGGUGCUGCACUCCAGGACAAAGAAGGGUUUGGAUGGCUCAACAACGAUGUUGUCAAUGUCAUCAAUAUAUCCAUUGGAAGCAUUCUAGCAAUCGUGAUUAAGCAACUUGUACUGCAAAACUAGUACAUCUAUUUGCACUGCAGCAAUGGUAUAUUAGAAGCUGGCAGAACUUGCUGAUAUUACCAAAAUGACAUGUAAAUUUUAAUUUGACUGCCAUGAUUGGAAUUCUAGUCUAUUUGCACAGCAGCAAUGAUAUUUUAGGAGCUGGCAGAAUUUGCUGAUAUUACCCGUAUGACAUUUUCUGCGGGAAAAACAUCUGCAGAUCCAUCUACAGCAUGAGCCAACCAAGCUGCUUCUAGGUUAUACAACUGCUCGGUCAUUCUGUUGUACGAUAUACUAAAUUCUCUCGGCUCUCUGAUGAAUGUACCAGGAGAGCCCUAUUCAUUUUGGUGCACAUCAUAGUUUUUAUGUCAUCGAGUUAUCAACUUAGGAAUGUGCUGAAUUUUAUUGUGAUUUUAGAACUCAGAAACGCAUAUUUCAAGUGUCAAAGGAAAGGAAUCCUGUUACUGCUACAUGGUUAAUAGGGAUGCUGCUCCCAAUAUUAUAUGAAAAAUCGCUUAUAACA